This 1372-nucleotide ribosomal RNA is filed under the name uncultured bacterium. Its description in RNAcentral is "bacterial SSU rRNA". It matches the Rfam family "Bacterial small subunit ribosomal RNA", at positions 28 to 1381 of the family's 1533-position model. The record is from RNAcentral.
GGUGAACGCUGGCGGCGUGCCUAAUACAUGCAAGUCGAGCGAACGGACGAGAAGCUUGCUUCUCUGAUGUUAGCGGCGGACGGGUGAGUAACGCGUGGAUAACCUACCUAUAAGACUGGGAUAACUUCGGGAAACCGGAGCUAAUACCGGAUAAUAUUUUGAACCGCAUGGUUCAAAAGUGAAAGACGGUCUUGCUGUCACUUAUAGAUGGAUCCGCGCUGCAUUAGCUAGUUGGUAAGGUAACGGCUUACCAAGGCAACGAUGCAUAGCCGACCUGAGAGGGUGAUCGGCCACACUGGAACUGAGACACGGUCCAGACUCCUACGGGAGGCAGCAGUAGGGAAUCUUCCGCAAUGGGCGAAAGCCUGACGGAGCAACGCCGCGUGAGUGAUGAAGGUCUUCGGAUCGUAAAACUCUGUUAUUAGGGAAGAACAUAUGUGUAAGUAACUGUGCACAUCUUGACGGUACCUAAUCAGAAAGCCACGGCUAACUACGUGCCAGCAGCCGCGGUAAUACGUAGGUGGCAAGCGUUAUCCGGAAUUAUUGGGCGUAAAGCGCGCGUAGGCGGUUUUUUAAGUCUGAUGUGAAAGCCCACGGCUCAACCGUGGAGGGUCAUUGGAAACUGGAAAACUUGAGUGCAGAAGAGGAAAGUGGAAUUCCAUGUGUAGCGGUGAAAUGCGCAGAGAUAUGGAGGAACACCAGUGGCGAAGGCGACUUUCUGGUCUGUAACUGACGCUGAUGUGCGAAAGCGUGGGGAUCAAACAGGAUUAGAUACCCUGGUAGUCCACGCCGUAAACGAUGAGUGCUAAGUGUUAGGGGGUUUCCGCCCCUUAGUGCUGCAGCUAACGCAUUAAGCACUCCGCCUGGGGAGUACGACCGCAAGGUUGAAACUCAAAGGAAUUGACGGGGACCCGCACAAGCGGUGGAGCAUGUGGUUUAAUUCGAAGCAACGCGAAGAACCUUACCAAAUCUUGACAUCCUUUGACAACUCUAGAGAUAGAGCCUUCCCCUUCGGGGGACAAAGUGACAGGUGGUGCAUGGUUGUCGUCAGCUCGUGUCGUGAGAUGUUGGGUUAAGUCCCGCAACGAGCGCAACCCUUAAGCUUAGUUGCCAUCAUUAAGUUGGGCACUCUAAGUUGACUGCCGGUGACAAACCGGAGGAAGGUGGGGAUGACGUCAAAUCAUCAUGCCCCUUAUGAUUUGGGCUACACACGUGCUACAAUGGACAAUACAAAGGGCAGCGAAACCGCGAGGUCAAGCAAAUCCCAUAAAGUUGUUCUCAGUUCGGAUUGUAGUCUGCAACUCGACUACAUGAAGCUGGAAUCGCUAGUAAUCGUAGAUCAGCAUGCUACGGUGAAUACGUUCCCGGGUCU